RNAcentral lists this long non-coding RNA (239 nucleotides) under Lathyrus oleraceus (garden pea). RNAcentral describes it as "Pisum sativum (pea) long non-coding RNA (PSAT_LNC017091)". Lineage: Eukaryota; Viridiplantae; Streptophyta; Magnoliopsida; Fabales; Fabaceae. The record is from RNAcentral.
UUGCAACAAUUAGGCUUACUCCAAGGUAUCGAGUGGAUGCUCCGUAAAGCCGAUUUAACCUUCCUUUGCACUCAUAACCAACCCACCUACCCUUCCCUAACCUUAGAAUUCCUAAGUUCUUACGACUACACCACUCCCGCCGGUGAAGGUGAAUUUCUAACCGGUACGGCAACCUUCCGUAUGUUUAACACCGAGUACUCUCUAACCCAACGCGAAUUGAGUGCCAUGCUACAAUUUCC